UAAUAAGUGUUUUAUGGCACUUUUUAAAUCCAUAUCCACCUUGUGUGCAAUGUCAGUCGAUCUUCUUUUAUGGAGGAUCGACCAAACAUCAACCUUUAUCUUUUAACUCUUUGUCUUAAAAAUAUUAUGAAUAAACAAUUCAAAAUA
This 147-nucleotide unclassified non-coding RNA is filed under the name soil metagenome. RNAcentral's name for it is "partial internal transcribed spacer 1". The record is from RNAcentral.